This 527-nucleotide long non-coding RNA is filed under the name Vigna radiata. Its description in RNAcentral is "long non-coding RNA (VRAD_LNC015146)". The record is from RNAcentral. Lineage: Eukaryota; Viridiplantae; Streptophyta; Magnoliopsida; Fabales; Fabaceae.
UUGAAGAAGUGAAACGAGUCGUUUUGGUGGAGAGAGGCCAUAGGGGUUUCCUAUCCUCAUUCUCAUUCGCAAAAGGAGCUCGAGCUAUUCAUUUGGAGAAGAAAAAGAACCCUCGAGCUAGGGCAAAAAGAAAGAGCGAAGUGAGAGCAACCUUGUGCGACCCUGACCGGUGGAGAAGACCCUAACCGGUGAUGAUAAAGAUGAUCAAAGGGUUGACAUUUGAGAAGAAGGGUUGGUCAUCGGAUGAUGCUCCAAAGCGUGUAGAGCAAGUUUCCUCUUUUCCCUCUUUCAUUUUUUUUUCUCUUUUCUUUUCAGACCCUAUAUAAAGUGGUUUCUGCAAUGUAUAAAGACACUUUCAGACGCUACAAUUCUCCAUUCUGUAGAUUAGGAUUUUUCUGCUUUCGUAGAAGUAGGGUUCUUAGCUACUGGAUUUCACCUUGAAGCUUGCGGGAGUGACAUUGGCGAGUGGUUUGGUGAGUUUGGUAAUAUGGACAUUUCUCGUUCAUAUUAAUAAAGUCAAUUUCGUG